GGGUGCUUAGCUCAGGCCGGUAGAGCGUCGCCUUUACACGGCGAAAGUCGGGGGUUCGAUUCCCUCAGCACCCACCA
This 77-nucleotide transfer RNA is filed under the name Gammaproteobacteria bacterium. RNAcentral's name for it is "tRNA-Val". It matches the Rfam family "tRNA". Rfam says of the family: Transfer RNA (tRNA) molecules are approximately 80 nucleotides in length. Their secondary structure includes four short double-helical elements and three loops (D, anti-codon, and T loops). RNAcentral also lists the same sequence under 1 other name. The record is from RNAcentral. Lineage: Bacteria; Pseudomonadati; Pseudomonadota; Gammaproteobacteria.